GCACCCGUGGCCUAAUGGACAAGGCGUCUGACUUCUAAUCAGGCGAUUGUGGGUUUGAGUGCCACCAGUUUUU
This 73-nucleotide transfer RNA is filed under the name Nicotiana sylvestris (wood tobacco). It matches the Rfam family "tRNA". Rfam says of the family: Transfer RNA (tRNA) molecules are approximately 80 nucleotides in length. Their secondary structure includes four short double-helical elements and three loops (D, anti-codon, and T loops). Lineage: Eukaryota; Viridiplantae; Streptophyta; Magnoliopsida; Solanales; Solanaceae. The record is from Rfam by way of RNAcentral.